GGGAAUAUUGCACAAUGGGCGCAAGCCUGAUGCAGCCAUGCCGCGUGUAUGAAGAAGGCCUUCGGGUUGUAAAGUACUUUCAGCGGGGAGGAAGGGGGUAAAGUUAAUACCUUUGCUCAUUGACGUUACCCGCAGAAGAAGCACCGGCUAACUCCGUGCCAGCAGCCGCGGUAAUACGGAGGGUGCAAGCGUUAAUCGGAAUUACUGGGCGUAAAGCGCACGCAGGCGGUUUGUUAAGUCAGAUGUGAAAUCCCCGGGCUCAACCUGGGAACUGCAUCUGAUACUGGCAAGCUUGAGUCUCGUAGAGGGGGGUAGAAUUCCAGGUGUAGCGGUGAAAUGCGUAGAGAUCUGGAGGAAUACCGGUGGCGAAGGCGGCCCCCUGGACGAAGACUGACGCUCAGGUGCGAAAGCGUGGGGAGCAAACAGGAUUAGAU
Molecule: ribosomal RNA, 434 nt
Filed under: Escherichia coli
Lineage: Bacteria; Pseudomonadati; Pseudomonadota; Gammaproteobacteria; Enterobacterales; Enterobacteriaceae
Description: bacterial SSU rRNA
Rfam family: Bacterial small subunit ribosomal RNA
Source: RNAcentral